This 500-nucleotide ribosomal RNA is filed under the name uncultured Glomeromycotina. RNAcentral's name for it is "partial small subunit ribosomal RNA". It matches the Rfam family "Eukaryotic small subunit ribosomal RNA", at positions 591 to 1092 of the family's 1831-position model. The record is from RNAcentral. Lineage: Eukaryota; Fungi; Glomeromycota.
CCAAUAGCGUAUAUUAAAGUUGUUGCAGUUAAAAAGCUCGUAGUUGAAUUUCGGGGUUAGUAGGCUGGUCAUGCCUCUGGUAUGUACUGGUCUCACUGAUUCCUCCUUCCUGAUGAACCGUAAUGCCAUUAAUUUGGUGUUGCGGGGAAUCUGGACUGUUACUUUGAAAAAAUUAGAGUGUUUAAAGCAAGCUAACGCUUGAAUACAUUAGCAUGGAAUAAUGAAAUAGGACGUUCGAUCCUAUUUUGUUGGUUUCUAGGAUUGACGUAAUGAUUAAUAGGGAUAGUUGGGGGCAUUAGUAUUCAAUUGUCAGAGGUGAAAUUCUUGGAUUUAUUGAAGACUAACUACUGCGAAAGCAUUUGCCAAGGAUGUUUUCAUUAAUCAAGAACGAAAGUUAGGGGAUCGAAGACGAUCAGAUACCGUCGUAGUCUUAACCAUAAACUAUGCCGACUAGGGAUCGGAUGAUGUUAAUUUUUUAAUGACUCAUUCGGCGCCUUACG